RNAcentral lists this ribosomal RNA (1044 nucleotides) under Streptococcus sp. Its description in RNAcentral is "partial 16S ribosomal RNA". It matches the Rfam family "Bacterial small subunit ribosomal RNA", at positions 407 to 1444 of the family's 1533-position model. Lineage: Bacteria; Bacillati; Bacillota; Bacilli; Lactobacillales; Streptococcaceae. The record is from RNAcentral.
GAAGAAGGUCUUYGGAUSGUAAAGSUCUGUUGUAAGAGAAGAACGAGUGUGAGAGUGGAAAGUUCWCWYUGUGACGGUAUCUUACCAGAAAGGGACGGCUWAUUACGUGCCAGCAGCCGCGGUAAUACGUAGGUCCCGAGCGUUGUCCGGAUUUAUUGGGMRUAAAGCGAGCGCAGGCGGUUAGAUAAGUCUGAAGWUAAAGGCUGUGGCUUAACCAWAGUACGCUUUGGAAACUGUUUAACUUGAGKGCAAGAGGGGAGAGUGGAAUUCCAUGUGUAGCGGUGAAAUGCGUAGAUAUAUGGAGGAACACCGGUGGCGAAAGCGGCUCUCUGGCUUGWAACUGACGCUGAGGCUMGAAAGCGUGGGGAGCAAACAGGAUUAGAUMCCCUGGUAGUCCACGCCGUAAAMGAUGAGUGCUAGGUGUUAGACCCUUUCCGGGGUUUAGUSCCGUAGCUAACGCAUUAAGCACUCCGCCUGGGGAGUACGMCCGCAAGGUURAAACUCAAAGGAAUUGASGGGGGCCCGCACAAGSGGKGGAGCAUGKGGUUUAWUUCGAAGCAACGCGAAGAMCCUUMCCAGGUCUUGACAUCCCUCUGACCGUUCUAGAGAWAGAGCUUYCYUUSGGGACMGAGGUGACAGGUGGUGCAUGGUUGUCGUCAGCUCGUGUCGUGAGAUGUUGGGUUAAGUCCCGCAACGAGCGCAACCCYUAUUGUUAGUUGCCAUCAUUUAGUUGGGCACUCUARCGAGACUGCCGGUAAUAAACCGGAGGAAGGUGGGGAUGACGUCAAAUCAUCAUGCCCCUUAUGACCUGGGCUACACACGUGCUACAAUGGCYGGUACAAMGRGUMGCAAGUCGGUGASGACAAGCUAAUCUCUUAAAGCCAGUCUCAGUUCGGAUUGUAGKCUGCAACUCGCCUACAUGAAGUCGGAAUCGCUAGUAAUCGCGGAUCAGCACGCCGCGGUGAAUACGUUCCCGGGCCUUGUACACACCGCCCGUCACACCACGAGAGUUUGUAACACCCGAAGUCGGUGAGGUAACCGUAA